Molecule: ribosomal RNA, 798 nt
Filed under: uncultured Bacillota bacterium
Lineage: Bacteria; Bacillati; Bacillota
Description: bacterial SSU rRNA
Rfam family: Bacterial small subunit ribosomal RNA
Source: RNAcentral
AAAGUUCCCUUCGGGGAGCGAGUAGAGUGGCGCACGGGUGAGUAACACGUAGGUAAUCUACCUUUGGAUGGGGAAUAACAACCGGAAACGGUUGCUAAUACCGCAUAAUGCAGCGGCACCUAAUGGUGACAGUUGUUAAAGCGGGGGAUCGCAAGACCUCGCGUCUGAAGAGGAGCCUGCGGCGGAUUAGCUAGUUGGUAAGGUAAUGGCUUACCAAGGCUACGAUCCGUAACCGGCCUGAGAGGGCGGUCGGUCACACUGACACUGACAUACGGGUCAGACUCCUACGGGAGGCAGCAGUCGGGAAUUUUGGGCAAUGGGCGAAAGCCUGACCCAGCAACGCCGCGUGAAGGAUGAAAUCCCUCGGGAUGUAAACUUCGCAAGAACGGGAAGAAUAAGCGAGAGUUAAUAUCUUUCGUGAUGACGGUACCGUUUGUAAGCUCCGGCUAACUCCGUGCCAGCAGCCGCGGUAAUACGGGGGGAGCAAGCGUUGUUCGGAUUUACUGGGCGUAAAGGGCGCGUAGGCGGUCAGCACAAGUCAGUUGUGAAAUCUCCGGGCUUAACUCGGAAAGGUCAACUGAUACUGUGCGACUAGAGUGCAGAAGGGGCAACUGGAAUUCUUGGUGUAGCGGUGAAAUGCGUAGAUAUCAAGAGGAACACCUGCGGCGAAGGCGGGUUGCUGGGCUGACACUGACGCUGAAGCGCGAAAGCCAGGGGAGCGAACGGGAUUAGAUACCCCGGUAGUCCUGGCCUUAAACGAUGAAUGCUUGGUGUCUGGGGUUAUAAAGUCCCCGGGUG